UGCCAGCCGCCGCGGUAAUACGAAGGGUGCUAGCGUUGUUCGGAAUUACUGGGCGUAAAGAGCAUGUAGGCGGAUGAAUUAGUCAGAGGUGAAAGCCCCGAGCUCAACUUGGGAACUGCCUUCAAUACUUCCAGUCUAGAAUCUGUAAGGGGGUGGUGGAGUUCCGAGUGUAGAGGUGAAAUUCUUAGAUAUUCGGAGGAACACCAGUGGCGAAGGCGACCACCUGGUACAGUAUUGACGCUGAGAUGCGAAAGCGUGGGGAGCAAACAGGAUUAGAUA
RNAcentral lists this ribosomal RNA (279 nucleotides) under uncultured bacterium. RNAcentral describes it as "partial 16S ribosomal RNA". It matches the Rfam family "Bacterial small subunit ribosomal RNA", at positions 506 to 784 of the family's 1533-position model. The record is from RNAcentral.